This 228-nucleotide ribosomal RNA is filed under the name uncultured bacterium. RNAcentral's name for it is "partial 16S ribosomal RNA". It matches the Rfam family "Bacterial small subunit ribosomal RNA", at positions 103 to 334 of the family's 1533-position model. The record is from RNAcentral.
CGGGUGAGUAAUACAUCGGAACGUACCCAGUAGUGGGGGAUAGCUCGGCGAAAGCCGGAUUAAUACCGCAUACGACCUACGGGUGAAAGCGGGGGAUCGCAAGACCUCGCGCUAUUGGAGCGGCCGAUGUCGGAUUAGCUAGUUGGUGAGGUAAAGGCUCACCAAGGCUACGAUCCGUAGCUGGUCUGAGAGGACGACCAGCCACACUGGGACUGAGACACGGCCCAG